AGACCACAGAAGAUGAACUCCAUAUUUGC
RNAcentral lists this non-coding RNA (29 nucleotides) under Cricetulus griseus (Chinese hamster). Lineage: Eukaryota; Metazoa; Chordata; Mammalia; Rodentia; Cricetidae. The record is from RNAcentral.